AGAGGCAAGUGGUUAUAAUCCAAACGGAUGCCAGUGAGGCUGAGCCAAGUCCUGAUUUUCCUGACUAAUUGUGUGCUGUGUUCCUUAGGGACGACCUAGCCCAGCUGCCCUUCCUGACCAUGUGCAUCAAGGAGAGUCUGCGGCUGCAUCCCCCAGCUGUAGACCUCCUGCGCCGCUGCACCCAGGACAUUGUGCUACCUGAUGGCCCUCUUCUCUCAGGUUUACGACCCCUUCCGCUUUGACCCAGAAAGUCGUCAGAAGAGGUCACCUCUGUCUUUUAUUCCCUUCUCCGCAGGGCCCAGGAACUGCAUAGGACAGACUUUCGCUAUGAACGAGAUGAAGGUGGCGGUGGCGCUGACGCUGCUGCGCUUCCGACUCCUGCCGGAUGACAAGGAGCCGCGCCGGAAGCCAGAGAUAAUCCUGCGCGCGGAGGGCGGGCUGCGGCUGCUGGUGGAGCCUCUGAGUGGUGGUGCAUAAAGUCUUCAAACCUGA
This 492-nucleotide long non-coding RNA is filed under the name Rattus norvegicus (Norway rat). Its description in RNAcentral is "long non-coding RNA NONRATT033437". Lineage: Eukaryota; Metazoa; Chordata; Mammalia; Rodentia; Muridae. The record is from RNAcentral.